ACGUCAAAAAUCUACAGAUACAAGAUAUGGUAGUUAUGCUGAUAUACUUACGUUUUUUUAAGAAUUUGAAUGUUUUGGUUUAAUUUAUUUCUUUAAUUUAUACAAAUAAAAUUUCCAUCGAUACACUUUUAUUAGAAAAUGUUAAACUAUUUUUUAUCUAAUGAGGGUGUAAGUUCAAGAACAUUUACUCCUUUGGAGUGUUUUGCAAGUCAAAAUGAAGGUAAAAACUCUACAGAUAUUAGAUAUGGUAGUUUGGCAUUCGUCAACUUAUUUUUUUGAAUAGAUUAGUUAGUGUAAUAUAUAUUUUUUAUUUAUACAGAUAAAAUUUCUUAGAUACAGUUAAAUGCGAAAAUGUUGAACUCUUUUUAUUUAAUCAAGGUGCAAAUUCCAGUACAUUAACUCCUUCGGAGUGUUUUGUAAGUCAAAUUGAUGCUCAACAAUCACCAGAUAAUAGAUAUGACGUAGAAACAAGAAGCAGAGGUACAAACAAGAAAGAAGGAAAAAUUUACCAACCUGAAAUUGUACCAGAAUGAAAAUAUCAUAAAUGGGUUUUGAAUGAAGAGACACAACUAAUACAACACUUUCAAAGUUAUAUUAAUGAAAACAAAAUGCCUGACAAAAAAGAAAUUCUUCAGUUUUUGGAGGAGAAAAUGAUAGACGUUCAAUAUAAAACUGCAAGAACAAAAUUAACGAACAAAAGAACUAAAAUUCUGAACAAUAAAAAUCGUCUUUUGAAGGAUUUAAA
This is a long non-coding RNA of Hydra vulgaris (swiftwater hydra), 745 nucleotides long. RefSeq lists it as uncharacterized. NCBI's taxonomy places the organism in Eukaryota, Metazoa, Cnidaria, Hydrozoa, Anthoathecata, Hydridae. The record is from RefSeq and is a predicted model, not a curated record.